Molecule: ribosomal RNA, 430 nt
Filed under: uncultured bacterium
Lineage: Bacteria
Description: bacterial SSU rRNA
Rfam family: Bacterial small subunit ribosomal RNA
Source: RNAcentral
UGAGGAAUAUUGCGCAAUGGGGGCAACCCUGACGCAGCAACGCCGCGUGAGUGAAGAAGGCCUUCGGGUUGUAAAGCUCUGUCAGGCGGGAAGAAACUUCCGCAGGUAAAUAGCCUGUGGAACUGACGGUACCGCCAAAGGAAGCACCGGCUAACUCCGUGCCAGCAGCCGCGGUAAGACGGAGGGUGCAAGCGUUGUUCGGAAUCACUGGGCGUAAAGCGCGUGUAGGCGGUUUGGUAAGUCGAGUGUGAAAUCCCGAGGCUUAACUUCGGAAGUGCACUCGAAACUGUCAGGCUUGAGUACGGGAGAGGGAAGUGGAAUUCCUGGUGUAGAGGUGAAAUUCGUAGAUAUCAGGAGGAACACCGGUGGCGAAGGCGGCUUCCUGGACCGAUACUGACGCUGAGACGCGAAAGCGUGGGGAGCAAACAGG